Molecule: long non-coding RNA, 477 nt
Organism: Microtus oregoni (creeping vole)
Lineage: Eukaryota; Metazoa; Chordata; Mammalia; Rodentia; Cricetidae
Exons: 3
Source: RefSeq, a predicted model, not a curated record
GCUCACUGUGCCCUCACCACAAUCCACCCAGUCCUAUUGAUGGGCAUGAAGUGAAGUUCAGAGAAUGAGAAUACUCAUGAUCAAAUCGUCUGCAGGCUUGCUAUAAGAACUACGUGAGUUAUCACUGCACGUGAUGUGCUUAGAACCGAACACGCAUAGCAACACCAUGGAAACAUCAGAUGCAAGCCAGGGAUCAUGUUAAGCUCUGGCCAAGCUGCAAGCAGGGGACGUCUCAGUUCUCCCUUCCAGAGCUCUCGUUUUAACAAGGGACAGCUGAUAACUAUAUGGCAGAUUUGUCCCCCAGACAUCUUCUUGAUGUCUGCCAUACACAGGAAAUGUGUAGAAGUCAUGAUGACCAACGCUCAGACCAAGAUCACCCGAGAAGCAAGGCUCCACCCCAGAUGGUGGGCACUAUUCCACAUCAAAAGUUGUUGGUCAGUUUUCCCUGUUUGUAACCUUCUUAAGGAUGGAACUGUA